UACGUAGGGUGCAAGCGUUAUCCGGAAUUAUUGGGCGUAAAGAGCUCGUAGGCGGUUUGUCGCGUCUGCUGUGAAAACUGGAGGCUCAACCUCCAGCCUGCAGUGGGUACGGGCAGACUAGAGUGCGGUAGGGGAGAUUGGAAUUCCUGGUGUAGCGGUGGAAUGCGCAGAUAUCAGGAGGAACACCAAUGGCGAAGGCAGAUCUCUGGGCCGUUACUGACGCUGAGGAGCGAAAGCAUGGGGAGCGAACAGG
RNAcentral lists this ribosomal RNA (253 nucleotides) under uncultured bacterium. RNAcentral's name for it is "partial 16S ribosomal RNA". It matches the Rfam family "Bacterial small subunit ribosomal RNA", at positions 524 to 776 of the family's 1533-position model. The record is from RNAcentral.